GCCCCGGUAGCUCAGUGGUAGAGCACAUCCUUGGUAAGGAUGAGGUCGGCAGUUCAAUCCUGCUCUGGGGCUC
This 73-nucleotide transfer RNA is filed under the name compost metagenome. RNAcentral's name for it is "tRNA-Thr". It matches the Rfam family "tRNA". From Rfam's summary of the family: Transfer RNA (tRNA) molecules are approximately 80 nucleotides in length. Their secondary structure includes four short double-helical elements and three loops (D, anti-codon, and T loops). The record is from RNAcentral.